This 468-nucleotide ribosomal RNA is filed under the name uncultured bacterium. RNAcentral describes it as "partial 16S ribosomal RNA". It matches the Rfam family "Bacterial small subunit ribosomal RNA", at positions 28 to 507 of the family's 1533-position model. The record is from RNAcentral.
GACGAACGCUGGCGGCGUGCUUAACACAUUCAAGUCGAACGGAAAGGCCCUGCUUUUGUGGGGUGCUCGAGUGGCGAACGGGUUAGUAACACGUGAGUAACCUGCCCUUGACUUUGGGAUAACUUCAGGAAACUGUGGCUAAUACCGGAUAGGAGCUCCUGCUGCAUGGUGGGUGUUGUAAAGUUUAGUCGGUUGGGGAUGGACUCGCGACUUAUCAGCUUGUUGGUGGGGUAGUGGCUUACCAAGGCUUUGACGGGUAGCCGGCCUGAGAGGGCGACCGGCCAGAUGGGGAAUGAGAUACGGCCCAGACUCCUAAGGGAGGCAGCAGUGGGGAAUAGUGCACAAUGGGCGGAAGAAUGAAGCAGCAACGACGCGUGCGGGAUGAAGGCCUUCGGGUUGUAAACCGCUUUCGCCUGUGACGAAGCGUGAGUGAAGGUAAUGGGUAAAGAAGCAACGGCUAACUACGUG